Acipenser ruthenus (sterlet) is the source of this 2281-nucleotide long non-coding RNA. RefSeq lists it as uncharacterized. Lineage: Eukaryota; Metazoa; Chordata; Actinopteri; Acipenseriformes; Acipenseridae. The transcript is spliced from 2 exons. The record is from RefSeq and is a predicted model, not a curated record.
UUUCAACAGCAACGCGUCACACUUCAGCAAAUUUACACAGAUAUUCUAUUUUCGUUCUCUUCUCUUAGCUAUUACGCUUUAAUGCAUUUUAUUACGGAGAUCGAUAUCUUGGUAAAAUAACCAUUUUUAUAAACUAGCGGGGCAGUGAAAUCUUUGCUUUGUGCUAAAGUCAACAGUGCUGAGUUGAGCUCAAAUAAAUGCUGCGAUGCUCGAGCCCGUUGCAGUAGUCUGUGAGGCUAGUCUAAGCGCGGGACUGCCAUCGCUUUCAAAUCUACAGAACACAAGGGCAUCAGGUACAAGUAGGCGUCUCACCGGUGAUGAAUGUACAACUGAGAAGAGAAACAGAACGGCUUUUGAGUCACUGUGUUCAUUAGUACCUGGUUAGGACUGCGUCCAACCUGAUGGCAAAUAUGAAAUAUCAAAGCGCUUGUCAGCACUCCUGAAUGAGACAAAGAAAGGCUGCAUUAAUGAUUAACUGUGCUAAAAGCCCCGUCUUUUGUAUUCCCAUGGUGCCUGGGCUAUCUUGCUGCCAUGUGACAUGAUCGGGCCCUUUUCUAGCAGAUUGAGGAAAGCUAGUGAGCAAACACAGGUGCUUAGGAGUCAGCAUGGCUGUCAGGGGCAACCACAAACAACACCAGCUAUGCCUGGUUAAAUGACCUCCUCUGUUUGCUUCCAUUGCUGCUUCCUGGGGAUCGUACAUUUCAAGCCCAGUGUCUCCUGCCCCCAUUCUCAGCUUUCGCACGCAGUGUUGAAAAACCAGGCAGAGCCACUUCUUUGAUACAACAACAUUCGGUGGCCAAACCAAGGGACAGAGUACACUAAUUAAAAGUGUUCAAGACUUUAGCUGCCAAAACAAAACACAUUUAUUUUUCCUCAAGUGGGGCUAUUUUGGUGACCCUGUGUCAAACACAAAGGAGCCAUUCAUUUUGAAAUGAGCAUUUGGAAAUCUGUGUGUGUGGAAGAGAGCAAAUCACUAUUAAUAGUUGGCAAAUAAGAAACGUUUCAAAGAAGGUUGUUUGCAGCUUUAGAACGCCAGACACGCCUCGGGCUAAAUGCCAGUGUCCUGGGUAUGAAUGUUACACAGUAGCAAGACUCGUACAAGGCUUCUCUGUUGUGGAAAGUACAAAGUCCCCCUAGCGGAAUAGUGAACUUUCUACAUAGCACAAGUCAGAAUGGCUGUCUUUUAUUGUUCAAAUAUUUAUAUUUGUAUAUUACAGCUCUGUGCAAUUACGCAGGGCCAGUAAACCUGUAUUACCAAGAAAAUGCUAAAGGUGUUUUAAGUAAACAAGUAAAAUCCACAAGAGAGGAAAUCAAGUUAUAAAGAGGAAGGUUAAGAGCAGUGUCAGCACAGCCUAUGACACUGGGGCCUAUUGUAAUGUCUAAACGAUGUCUUAAUACCACGUUCCUGAAAUGACACUUCAUUAUUGUAUAUUGUAUAUGAUAAAAGCAGGUGAAUAAAUACCCGUGUGAAAAGGCACAGUCAGAUUCAUAUAGAGUUGAAGAGUGGUGGUAUUUAGAUCAGCCACUGUUGAGAUCAUUAAAAUAGACAGCUUACUUAAAUAACGGAAUAAGCUUAUUCAAGAGGUAUUGCUUUGCCUGUCUACUCCAUUUACAUAGUUUCUUCAUUAACAAUGACUUCAGCUUUUGAUAAUGAUUGCUACAUAGACUAAUAGGGAUUGUUUCCAACAAAGUCUACUGGCGCAAUAUGGUAUAAGACUAUAAUGUUAAAAGAGGAUCACUCUCAAAAGCAAAAUCAAACCUAAAGCUACGGCCAGGUCUCUUAUUUGAGCACACAAGGCUGUUAGACUGCAGCUUUAUUGCAUAGUUCUUGUCAGUGCAAAAAGUCUCAUCUAUUGUCUGUGAAAACUCCUAGCAGAUUUCAGGCAAUGGCGAAAAGAUUAAAAAGACCCAUUGAAAACUGUGAUAAUCUCAAAGGCUCUUUGAAGUUCUGCAUACAAUGCAACGUUUUACAGAGCAGGAGCACUUAAAAAGGCUGUAGACUGAAUGAACUUGGGUCUUUUGUAAGAUCUGUACCAACAACACAGUCCUCUGAACUACGGAAAACAAACAAAUAUUCAUAAUAUGCAGUCGACUAGCUGUGAUGUUUGGUGCUGCUUGCAAGCAUAAACUCAAUAUGUAUUUCAAUUACAUUAGUUUACAAUAGAAUCUGUCAUCUUGCUAAAAUGUCAACCAUGGGCUAUGAUUUUACACGAUCUGUGUUUUUUUUUAAUGCUAACUUGAUUUACUAUCCUGUAUUAAGAAAUAAAGAUAGUUAACUGAA